CACGCCGUAAACGAUGAGUGCUAGGUGUAGAGGGUAUCGACCCCUUCUGUGCCGCAGUUAACACAAUAAGCACUCCGCCUGGGGAGUACGGCCGCAAGGUUGAAACUCAAAGGAAUUGACGGGGGCCCGCACAAGCGGUGGAGCAUGUGGUUUAAUUCGACGCAACGCGAAGAACCUUACCAGGGCUUGACAUCCUCUGAAUCUUCAGGAAACUGGGGAGUGCCCUUCGGGGAGCAGAGAGACAGGUGG
RNAcentral lists this ribosomal RNA (249 nucleotides) under uncultured Desulfosporosinus sp. RNAcentral's name for it is "partial 16S ribosomal RNA". It matches the Rfam family "Bacterial small subunit ribosomal RNA", at positions 796 to 1041 of the family's 1533-position model. The record is from RNAcentral. Lineage: Bacteria; Bacillati; Bacillota; Clostridia; Eubacteriales; Desulfitobacteriaceae.